Scophthalmus maximus (turbot) is the source of this 741-nucleotide long non-coding RNA. RefSeq lists it as uncharacterized. Lineage: Eukaryota; Metazoa; Chordata; Actinopteri; Pleuronectiformes; Scophthalmidae. The transcript has 3 exons. The record is from RefSeq and is a predicted model, not a curated record.
UGCGCCCUCAGCCGCCGACCCCGGGUCCACAGAGCGGACAAACUGUCCGCGCCUUGUCUUGUCGCUGUGCAGGUUGAAGCCAUAGCCGUGGUCCCCCUUCACCACGUGACACAGUCGGGGGAAAAAGAGAUCUGUGGUCGACUCCGGCGUACCUUAGACUGGUAACAAAGUGUCCUGGUGUGGCUGCGCUAUAAGUUAAUCAGGAGAAAGUGGCUGCCAGGAUAAGCCAGUGGGCUAAGUGGAUCUGCCUGAGAGACAUCAAGACUGACCCCGGGUCUAAUGACCAGUGACGAGUUGACACAUUGUGUGACUCACCUGCCUGACUGACCCCGCCCUCCGACUACUAGAAUCCCCUUUCGCCGGCUCUACUUUGGCUGGAGGAAAAGGGACUGUGCAGUGUUUUGUGUCCAUGAUAUGUAAGUAUUAUCUCUGCUAGAGAAGAAUUUCAAGCCACGACAUUGUGAUUAUUGACUUGGACAUUAUCUUAACCUCUCUUUCUUCUGAUAAAAACUAUGCAGACAGCCCAUAAGAGCCCUCUGAAUGUGUUGACCUUUGACAGUGCUCCCCUGCUGCUAAUGAGAGAGCACAAUGCAGAGUCUUGUGUGGUGAUCGCGACCCUUACCUCUGGGUCAGACGCUUUACUCGAUGUCACUGAGGAUCGCUUCAUCUUGCCUUGUGUGAUCACGGGGGAGUCGGCACCAGCAGGGGGAAUUGACUGCGUGUGGUUGGGUUUGGGUGAAA